UGGGAUGUGGCUCAGUGGUAGAGCGCUUGCCUAGCAUGCAUGAGGCAUUGGGUUUGAUUCCCUGCACCACAU
RNAcentral lists this transfer RNA (72 nucleotides) under Ictidomys tridecemlineatus (thirteen-lined ground squirrel). RNAcentral's name for it is "Spermophilus tridecemlineatus (thirteen-lined ground squirrel) tRNA". It matches the Rfam family "tRNA". From Rfam's summary of the family: Transfer RNA (tRNA) molecules are approximately 80 nucleotides in length. Their secondary structure includes four short double-helical elements and three loops (D, anti-codon, and T loops). Lineage: Eukaryota; Metazoa; Chordata; Mammalia; Rodentia; Sciuridae. The record is from Rfam by way of RNAcentral.